Molecule: transfer RNA, 85 nt
Filed under: Felis catus (domestic cat)
Lineage: Eukaryota; Metazoa; Chordata; Mammalia; Carnivora; Felidae
Also listed under: 1 other name
Rfam family: tRNA
About the family: Transfer RNA (tRNA) molecules are approximately 80 nucleotides in length. Their secondary structure includes four short double-helical elements and three loops (D, anti-codon, and T loops). Further hydrogen bonds mediate the characteristic L-shaped molecular structure. tRNAs have two regions of fundamental functional importance: the anti-codon, which is responsible for specific mRNA codon recognition, and the 3' end, to which the tRNAs corresponding amino acid is attached (by aminoacyl-tRNA synthetases). tRNAs cope with the degeneracy of the genetic code in two manners: having more than one tRNA (with a specific anti-codon) for a particular amino acid; and 'wobble' base-pairing, i.e. permitting non-standard base-pairing at the 3rd anti-codon position.
Source: Rfam by way of RNAcentral
ACCUGAGUGGCUCAGUUGGUUAAGUGUCUGACUUUGGCUCAGGUCAUGAUCUUAUGGUCUGUGGGUUCGAGCCCCGCAUCGGGCU